This 253-nucleotide ribosomal RNA is filed under the name uncultured bacterium. RNAcentral's name for it is "partial 16S ribosomal RNA". It matches the Rfam family "Bacterial small subunit ribosomal RNA", at positions 524 to 776 of the family's 1533-position model. The record is from RNAcentral.
UACAGAGACUGCAAGCGUUAUUCGGAUUCACUGGGCGUAAAGGGUGCGCAGGCGGUUGGGUGUGUCAGAUGUGAAAUCCCGAGGCUCAACCUCGGAACUGCGUCUGAAACUACUCGACUAGAGUACUGGAGAGGGUAACGGAAUUCACGGUGUAGCAGUGAAAUGCGUAGAUAUCCGGAGGAACACCGAUGGCGAAGGCAGCCCCCUGGGCUAACACUGACGCUCAUGCACGAAAGCGUGGGGAGCAAACAGG